This 253-nucleotide ribosomal RNA is filed under the name uncultured bacterium. RNAcentral describes it as "partial 16S ribosomal RNA". It matches the Rfam family "Bacterial small subunit ribosomal RNA", at positions 524 to 776 of the family's 1533-position model. The record is from RNAcentral.
UACGUAGGGUGCGAGCGUUGUCCGGAAUUACUGGGCGUAAAGAGCUCGUAGGUGGUUUGUCGCGUUGUUCGUGAAAACCGGGGGCUUAACCCUCGGCGUGCGGGCGAUACGGGCAGACUUGAGUACUGCAGGGGAGACUGGAAUUCCUGGUGUAGCGGUGAAAUGCGCAGAUAUCAGGAGGAACACCGGUGGCGAAGGCGGGUCCCUGGGCCGUUACUGACGCUGAGGAGCGAAAGCGUGGGGAGCGAACAGG